AGAGUUUGAUCAUGGCUCAGAACGAACGCUGGCGGCGUGCCUAACACAUGCAAGUCGAGCGCGAAUGGAGCAAUCCUAGUAGAGCGGCGCACGGGUGCGUAACACGUGGAUAAUCUGCCUGGGUGUCUGGGAUAACCAGUCGAAAGAUUGGCUAAUACCGGAUAAGCCCCCGGGAGCUUCGGCUCCUGAGGGAAAAGGUGGCCUCUGUAUACAAGCUAUCACAUCCAGAUGAGUCCGCGGCCCAUCAGCUAGUUGGCGGGGUAAUGGCCCACCAAGGCAACGACGGGUAGCUGGUCUGAGAGGACGAUCAGCCACACUGGAACUGAGACACGGUCCAGACUCCUACGGGAGGCAGCAGUGGGGAAUUUUGCGCAAUGGGCGAAAGCCUGACGCAGCAACGCCGCGUGUGUGAUGAAGGUCUUCGGAUUGUAAAGCACUUUCGACCGGGACGAAAACCCUGAAGCUAAUAUCUUCAGGCUUGACGGUACCGGGAGAAGAAGCACCGGCUAACUCUGUGCCAGCAGCCGCGGUAAUACAGAGGGUGCAAGCGUUGUUCGGAAUUAUUGGGCGUAAAGCGCGUGUAGGCGGCUUUGCAAGUCGGGUGUGAAAGCCCUCAGCUCAACUGAGGAAGUGCGCCCGAAACUGCAGAGCUUGAGUGCCGGAGAGGGUGGCGGAAUUCCCCAAGUAGAGGUGAAAUUCGUAGAUAUGGGGAGGAACACCGGUGGCGAAGGCGGCCACCUGGACGGUAACUGACGCUGAGACGCGAAAGCGUGGGGAGCAAACAGGAUUAGAUACCCCGGUAGUCC
RNAcentral lists this ribosomal RNA (806 nucleotides) under uncultured Archangiaceae bacterium. Its description in RNAcentral is "bacterial SSU rRNA". It matches the Rfam family "Bacterial small subunit ribosomal RNA", at positions 8 to 796 of the family's 1533-position model. The record is from RNAcentral. Lineage: Bacteria; Pseudomonadati; Myxococcota; Myxococcia; Myxococcales; Archangiaceae.